AGACAAAGGUGUAAAGGAAUUAGGCAAGGGUGUAACAUGAUUUCCACCAUUGAUAUGUUGUGCACACUGAGUUUGAACUGUAGUUCAUAAAAAAAAUACAGCAAAACGAUGUUAAAAAUUACAGCACAAUGAUGUCCCAACCAUCAAUGGCUUCUGCUCCAUACCUAAUAAACCCCACCUGGCCAUUAGGUGCUUAGAUCUCGAUCAUCUAGCCCCCCAAGGCAUCAGCGCCCUCCCUCAACUCAUGUUGAAGAUGCAUUGGCAGUGCAGGCAUGCCAACACGUGAAGGCUCAUGUGCGAGGUUGUCCUCUAUUCUCAUUGAAGAUUGUCAAUCAUCUUCUAAAUCAGUAAUUUCUUUUUGUUAUCUGAAUCAGUAAAGUAACAACAUUUGGUCUUCAGGAAACAUAUUCAAAAUUAACUAAGACAAGGCAUCAGUACUUUUACAAUCUCAUUACAGAAACUUCUAAAAAGAUUCAUUCAAUUAGCAUAUGUAGAAAAAAUAAGUUUACUUAUCUGAUCCAGGCCACCUAAUAAUAUGUAUACUUAGCAGUCUGGAACACCACCAUAGCCCACAUCUACGGAACUGGUUACUACAUGGCACGCCAAAACUUUGAUAUACUAUAAUUUUAUUCUACAUGAUUAGAACAUCAACUCUAAUUUUCAAGCAAAUAGUAAUAUUCAUACUAUCAAGCGCAUUAAAAAAAAUGUCAAAAUUACCUGCAUGUAACAACCUUAAAGGUAUCAUCCACAUAUAUUGGAGAAUUGCCACGACUGAGUAGUAAAUAUAGCACAUAAGUAGGAGUUAGUUUUCAUCUGCAAAACUUCAGAAAAAACCCAUCGCAUUGCAAAAACAAUUGAUAGACAUAACUGAAACAUAAAGAAUGACCCGUUAAUUGAGCUAUGCAUUAGAUUUUACAAGAUUCUGGGCAUUUCCAAACAAGUAUGCAAAUAAACAAGAUUCUUCAUUGAUUGCAUAUCUGUGAAUGCAAUAUUGAAUAUCAUUACUGAUGAAUUUUUCAAAAACAAAAAAGGCAGUAGCCAAUCUGAACCUUUCAAAAAAAAAUCUGCACAGGUAAAAUCAUUACUGGUGAAUCAACUAUGAAACAAAUGUGUGACAAAUAAAAAAAACCUUGAUGAUCAUGCGUUCUCUAACAAAUGAAGCUUGAACUUUGUUUUUCAUGUAAUUAAUUUUCUGAUUGAAGUACCACUUUGGGGUUCCUAGAUUCUAUAUUGUACUUCUUACAUAAUGGAACCUAUUUUCUAGCAAACUAUGGAGUUUCAGAGCACAUCAAAAGUCAGCAUAGCAGCUCCAUCAUUGGACCUGCUACCCCUCCCAAAAAAGAGAGCAAGAAAAAUAUGUUCUAGAAACAAAAUAAGACUACCUCAAUGGCAUACAAAUUAGAGACGUUUGAACAUCAUUAUCCCUCAUCAGCUCAUUUAAAGUUGGGGGCCUAUUUCGUCAAUUUAUAAAAGGCAUUGAUUAGUUAUAAAUGGGUGUUAUCUAGCCACAAUUAACAUGUUAGACACAAUCCUUCUUCCAAGGAAACCUAGAAGAAUAUGUUUCCAUUGGUAAUAGCUAAUUCAAACUGCGUACACAGGGCAGGUGUAGAAGACCUUACAUGUGAUGGAUCAUGCAUAUUUUAGAGCCUUCCAACAAAACUCCUGAAAAAUGGUAAACCUAAGAACAUUGAUGAUUGAUGAAGGAUAGCUAAAAGUCCAACCUCAAAGGUAAUGUGCAGAUUCUUGAGGUCAAGAUUGUCAUCCAAAUCAUUGACACCAUCCAGUAACUUGUUUAUGUGAUUCAUAUCAGUAGA
RNAcentral lists this long non-coding RNA (1814 nucleotides) under Sorghum bicolor (sorghum). RNAcentral's name for it is "long non-coding RNA (SBIC_LNC001904)". The record is from RNAcentral. Lineage: Eukaryota; Viridiplantae; Streptophyta; Magnoliopsida; Poales; Poaceae.